GACGAACGCUGGCGGCGUGCCUAAUACAUGCAAGUUGAGCGCUGAAGGUUGGUACUUGUACCAACUGGAUGAGCAGCGAACGGGUGAGUAACGCGUGGGGAAUCUGCCUUUGAGCGGGGGACAACAUUUGGAAACGAAUGCUAAUACCGCAUAAAAACUUUAAACACAAGUUUUAGGUUUGAAAGAUGCAAUUGCAUCACUCAAAGAUGAUCCCGCGUUGUAUUAGCUAGUUGGUGAGGUAAAGGCUCACCAAGGCGAUGAUACAUAGCCGACCUGAGAGGGUGAUCGGCCACAUUGGGACUGAGACACGGCCCAAACUCCUACGGGAGGCAGCAGUAGGGAAUCUUCGGCAAUAGACGAAAGUCUGACCGAGCAACGCCGCGUGAGUGAAGAAGGUUUUCGGAUCGUAAAACUCUGUUGGUAGAGAAGAACGUUGGUGAGAGUGGAAAGCUCAUCAAGUGACGGUAACUACCCAGAAAGGGACGGCUAACUACGUG
This 497-nucleotide ribosomal RNA is filed under the name uncultured bacterium. RNAcentral describes it as "partial 16S ribosomal RNA". It matches the Rfam family "Bacterial small subunit ribosomal RNA", at positions 28 to 507 of the family's 1533-position model. The record is from RNAcentral.